Molecule: ribosomal RNA, 449 nt
Filed under: uncultured bacterium
Lineage: Bacteria
Description: partial 16S ribosomal RNA
Rfam family: Bacterial small subunit ribosomal RNA
Source: RNAcentral
AAUGAACGCUGGCGGCAGGCCUAACACAUGCAAGUCGAACGGAUCCUUCGGGAUUAGUGGCGGACGGGUGAGUAACGCGUGGGAACAUACCCAAAGGUACGGAAUAGCCUCGGGAAACUGGGAGUAAUACCGUAUGUGCUCGAAAGAGGAAAGGUUUAUCGCCUUUGGAUUGGCCCGCGUUGGAUUAGGUAGUUGGUGGGGUAAUGGCCUACCAAGCCGACGAUCCAUAGCUGGUUUGAGAGGAUGAUCAGCCACACUGGGACUGAGACACGGCCCAGACUCCUACGGGAGGCAGCAGUGGGGAAUCUUAGGCAAUGGGGGAAACCCUGAUCUAGCCAUGCCGCGUGAUCGAUGAAGGCCUUAGGGUUGUAAAGAUCUUUCAGGUGGGAAGAUAAUGACUGUACCACCAGAAGAAGCCCCGGCUAACUCCGUGCCAGCAGCCGCGGUAA